CAUGAUAAUUAUGUUCGCAGCAUAGUAUCAUAGGAAUAUACAAAUUGCUAAAGUACAUGAUUUUUCUUUUACUUUAGUAUGCUUUUGUAAGCUUCUGACACAUACUUAAAUACUCAAACUCAUGUGGAAUAAAGGUCUUAAUCGCAUAAUUAACAUUGUAAACCACAUAAAAGGGAAGCUCGAUUUGUCUGCCUUUAAUUAAUUUUCCUUAACUAUUUGCUGGAAUAAACAAUGAUCUUUUAAACGCUUCAACGAUAAAAGUAAUAAGCUGCUUUACAAUCUCAGCACAAAACUAAUACAAAUGAAUUCUUUAAAACUAUAAGAAUAUCAAGUUUUGAAGUUUCAAAUAAAAUACUUUCUUGCAUAUUUGAUGACUGGAAUCAUGAUUAAUUAAAAAUGUAUUUUUUUUAUUUGA
Molecule: non-coding RNA, 415 nt
Organism: Schizosaccharomyces pombe (fission yeast)
Lineage: Eukaryota; Fungi; Ascomycota; Schizosaccharomycetes; Schizosaccharomycetales; Schizosaccharomycetaceae
Source: the annotation of a GenBank genome assembly